Molecule: unclassified non-coding RNA, 2529 nt
Filed under: Hevea brasiliensis (rubber tree)
Lineage: Eukaryota; Viridiplantae; Streptophyta; Magnoliopsida; Malpighiales; Euphorbiaceae
Source: RNAcentral
UAGAAGAUAGGGAGAGAAUAGAAACAGAGACACAGAGAGAGAGAGAGAGCGAGCAGAAAUCGAAGAAAUGGCUAACAAGCUGAUCAGCGAAAUCGGACUGCCAAGGAUUCUCCUACACAACAUUCAUCAGUCUGGCAUAUUUCUUAUUAAGUCAAAGAUAAAUUAAGGUGGUUGAAUCUCCAAUAUCAUCGCCCAUGGCUUUCCCUUUUAUCAUAACAUCAUCUGGGAUUGUCACUGAGAUUCAUCUGGAAUUGAAUCUGUGAAACUAUCACAAGUAGAUAAUGAAGAGAACUAAUGGUGUAGACUAAAGAUAUUCAUCAAUUAAUAGGACGGAAUAAAUAUGUACACAGCGAGCUGAUUUUUAUCUGUUGACCCGACAAAAUGAUGGUGAUCCUAGCAGUCUGCACCACUGAUUAUUGCAACACAUUGCCAUGGUGACGUUAUUAAUUUUGAUGGGGAAAGGUUGCAGUUUAUUGGUCAGAUUUGAGGUUGGGAGAAGUGGUGGAAAUCCUGUUCUCACUCUGUCUCAGCAAAGGUUAUGUUUUCUUUCUUCAACUUAAAUGAUAAAAGUGAGAAACAUCUGAAGUAUCUUAGAAUAUAAAUUUCUGAAACUUUUUAUCUUUUAGCAACAUGGAGAUUAAGUGUAGGGGCCAUUGUCCAAUUUAAUGAUAAAAAUCUCAAGCUGCAAAGCCAAUUUCAAAGAAGGAAAUCUUGCAAAUAACCAUUUAGAUUGCAUUUGGUGCAGGGUUAGAAGAAUUGAGUAAAAAAUGCACAAGUAAAAUUAAGAGGUGAAGGAAUCUAGUAAAAGAUUAGGGCAGUAAAAUUUAAGCAUGUUUGGUACAGAAUAAAACAAUGAUGUGAUGACAUAUAUUACAAUACUAUUUAUUUAUAAUGGUUGAAACUCAUGUAAAAAAAUUAAUUCAAGGAUGAGUGGAUUCUAAUAGCAAUGAAUAGAGAUGAAAUAAGAAAAAGAAUGCUCUCUUCUGACCCCCUUCAAUGGGUUAACAUUUAACCCUCUCGACCAAAUGAAUUGUUUAAGGGGUUGAACCGGUGUAACAAACAUAGCAAUGUAAAGUUUCUACAGGUAAUAGAACACCUCCCAAUUGCUACUCCUAAUUCUGCUUAGUGAUGACCUUUCAUCUUUGUAUGGUUUUCUGAUUCUAAACAUAUUUUAUUCUGCAAAUAUAAUAAGUGGCUGCUAUCCUGAUGUUCUGUACUCUGACCAAGCCAUUGCAUGGAAUAAACUUGUUUGCAAUUUCCCCCCUCUCUUUCUAUCUGAUCUUCCGCUUUUUCCACCCCAGAAUCCUACAUAGUGAGAAAAAUGAAAUGUUCUUAAAAGGAACUUGGCAUGGACAAGUUUACCAACCAAUUAAUUGUUUUGGUGGCAUAGAAUAGAACUUUGAAAGUCUAAGGAUUAGAAUAUCUGGAUGAUGGUAAAUUACACAUUGGCUUGUUAUGUGCAAUUGAGAAGGUUUCAGUUUCCACAUUUUUUUAAAAUUCUGCUGGAUCAUGAAAAAGUUUACCAUUGUAUAUCUUGUUCGAUAUUUCUCAAACUACCAUUCCUGAAAAUUUAGAUUGGAAUUGCCUAACAUGUUCCAGAAGUAAAAUAUUUGAAUAGACAAAUAUGGAACAGAAUAAUGGCUAUAUCCCUUUGGACCAAUUUUUAUGACAAUUUGUUGCACCAUUUGGAGUCAUGUUAUAAUGUUAAACUGUGUUAGAAGCUGCAAGUGCAGAAAUUGUAUUGUCUACUUUAUUUUUGACAAAUGAAGGGAAUACCUACUACUUUGGUGUAUGAUCAGUUUAGUGAUAAUAUUGGAUCCUUAGUGCUUAUGUCAAGGAAUUUAAAGGAAGUGAUGUUUUACCUGUAACAAAGUGAAUGAUGGAAAUAGACACCAAUGAUUUUUCGCUCUGUUUUGUUUCAACAGAAGGCUAUUAAUAAAUGGUUGUAGUGGUGUUAUAUCUAGAUCAAUCAUACCAAGAGAUACAAAUAAGAAUAUCACAUUUAUUUAGGCUAAAAGUGUUGAAUAUAUUGGAGAACACACUAAUCACAUUUGGUGCGAAAGUUUCUUGUUUGGGCACUUUAGAAAAAGUUUUGGGAUGCUGCAUCAAGCAAGCCAAGAAGCCAAGAAGCAAUUGGAUGCAGCUACUUUUGAUUAUAGAAAUGCUGAAGCUAUGUCCAUUUCUCUUACUUUUUUCUUGUAGACUAUGCUUGUAUGUCAAUGAUAAUGAUGACAAAGGAAACAUAUGAUUAUGCUAAGAUUUAUUUAUUCUAUGCUGGAAAGUGAGAUUAGGAUUAGCCAAUCCUCAUUCACUUGCAAAAGGAAAAGAUAUAAUUACAACUUUUUGUAUCCUUGGAGUUGGUGGGUUAUAUAGUAGAAGUUAGUGCACUGUUGUAAGCUAGGAUUCUCGUUAAUCCUGGCAAUGAUAGAGGGAAAUUCUUAUUUCUUUUUUGUCCCCUUUUCUGCUAAGGCUGAAGCUAUGUCCAUUUCUCAUACUUUUUUCUUGUAACUAUGCAUGUUUGUCAAUGAC